GGAUCGAUGAUGACUCCACAAAUGCAUUCCUUGGAAAUCUAGAACAAAAUGAGUGAGCCAUCACUACCGUCUCCUCAUCGGAACUGAGGUCC
RNAcentral lists this small nucleolar RNA (92 nucleotides) under Bison bison bison. RNAcentral describes it as "Small nucleolar RNA SNORD116 (ENSBBBG00000006754.1)". It matches the Rfam family "Small nucleolar RNA SNORD116". From Rfam's summary of the family: HBII-85 is a member of the C/D class of snoRNAs, which contain the C (UGAUGA) and D (CUGA) box motifs. HBII-85 is encoded in a tandemly repeated array with another C/D snoRNA, HBII-52, in the Prader-Willi syndrome (PWS) region of chromosome 15. Lineage: Eukaryota; Metazoa; Chordata; Mammalia; Artiodactyla; Bovidae. The record is from Rfam by way of RNAcentral.